Long non-coding RNA from Artibeus jamaicensis (Jamaican fruit-eating bat), 1573 nucleotides. RefSeq lists it as uncharacterized. The record is from RefSeq and is a predicted model, not a curated record. The transcript is spliced from 3 exons. NCBI's taxonomy places the organism in Eukaryota, Metazoa, Chordata, Mammalia, Chiroptera, Phyllostomidae.
GUCGGUGGUAGUUCGGCAGUGAAUUUUCCCAGGCCCUGCUGCAGGUUACAGAGCUGUGUCUGGUAUCCCUUGAGCGCCGCACAUAUGUGGUCUCGUCCAAUUCAGUGGAUUCACUAAUUACUCUGAAGAAAAAGAAGCAAAGCCAAACCAGAGAUCAACAAGAAACACAGCAGCUGUAUACUGGAAGCUUUUAAAAAUACAGUGCCUGAACACCACCUCCAAGAGACUGUUUCUCCCUAGGUUUUGAGUGUUUGCAUUGGGUAAGAUACAUGUGACACAUGUCCCUUUGAUGGAAAUUAUAACCAUGAAAUCAGUGUCUACUAUACAAACUCAACAGAACAGCUUUAAAUCAUUUGCUGCAAAGAUGCUGGACAAGGAAUUGCCUUGAGAUAUUUAUGGAUCAAACAAUCUGGCAUUUGUUUGUUGGCUUUUACUUUUGUUUGUAUUUAGAUAAAUACUCAUGAAUGAUGAAGUUCAAGAACAAGCCAAUUGAUUAUCUCAGGUAGGAAAAACACAACUGUCAAUUUUUUUUUACAUGAUGUGAUUUGGCCAAAUAGGAGGUUGGCUGAAGGAUCCUCUACAAAUGUUAGUUAGGCUAUUUUUAUCCUUAUUCCUAAUUGAUGCUACUGUCUUGUGUAUUGUUACCAGAAUAUUAAAUACUUCGACAGAACUACCAGCCUAUCAGUUGAAACCACAGGUGAUUCUAUAUCAAAAGGAAAUUGAAGUGACUGAUAAAAAUACAACAACAAAGAAAUCCAGUGAGAAUGAUACUGAAAACAGUGUGGAGCUGUAGAACUGAAACCUGAUAAUUGUGCUAUUUUUGUGGUCACACCAUCAUUUUAAGAAAAGAAAGGACCAAAAAGAGGGACAGUAGAUGGAAAGUAUUUCAUUUACAGCAACACUUACUUAGAAGAUAAUAAAACUGAAUUCUGUCUCCCCUCAGCUAAAUCUGUUAAAGAACCAUGGACUUUAAUGACCUCAUCAGGCCAAAAACUUCUAGGAUUCAACUCAAGAAUUUACCUUGGCCUCUGAAAAGGGAACCUCUUUUAAUUAAUCAUGUAACAGUUCUAUGGAUCCAUUCUAUUCAGACUGCUAACUUUCAAUCCUGGAUGAACAGCCACAAUAAAACAUUUAUUUUCCUUUGUAACAUUCUAAAACGUGAAAUUUUCCUAUCAAUGAGCAGCAAUUCAGGAAGUUUUUUCAAUGGUAUGUACAGCAUAUAACAAAUUCAGCUUUUUUUUUCCUUAAGCCCUAGUAGUUUUUUAUGUUAGAAACAAAACAAUAUUUUAUAUGAAAACCGUGAUUCUGAUGAUAGAAAUCCACUAUGUUAAAUGAUUUUAUUACUGAAAGGACAAAAAUAUAAGAAAAUAUAUAAAGCUUUCAACCUAAGUUAGAAAAAAAUAGCAAAAAUAAACAGUCAUAAAUAAAUUUCAAGUAAAACAGACAGUGAAAUGAUAAAAUUUGUGAAGUGGAUAUAAACCUGAUAUGGAGUAAGGGCUCAGUACCUGUUAGCUAACAGUUCAUUAUUGCUGCUUUUGGGGGCAGGUGUUCCACCCACAGCACGCAUACACAC